This is a long non-coding RNA of Bactrocera neohumeralis, 390 nucleotides long. RefSeq lists it as uncharacterized. The transcript is spliced from 3 exons. Lineage: Eukaryota; Metazoa; Arthropoda; Insecta; Diptera; Tephritidae. The record is from RefSeq and is a predicted model, not a curated record.
AGGCUAAUGAACGGCAGAAAAGGAUGGAGUCUUGUUCCAAAAAAGAGAUGUUAACAACAAUGUAGAAGAAUACCGCCCCUAUUGAAGUAAUUCAAGAAGACGAGGUUGGAGAGGCACCUCAAACUACAGGAGAAGAGGUCAUCGAUGAGAAAGACGAGAAAAUACUGCCUUUGGAAACAGAAAUACAAAGGCUGAAUAGUAUUGUUAGAACUUUGAAUAAGUGCAAAAACGCGCAGUUAGCAGAAAUUAAACGCCUGGGGACUUCCAUUAAUCCAAUUACACGCAAUUCCACAGAAAUAAUUUGGAGCAAAAACUUAGCUGCAUUUUCACCAACAGCCAGAUUUAAACAGUUCAAGAGCUCAAAACAUGCGCUACAUCAGCUACCUACCC